AGCGCUUGUCAUACUUAAGAGGUUCUGCUUCAUACACAAAACUUAAUGGAUCUUAGAUACAUUUUUUACCACCAACUUUAUUGUUUACAAGGAUUAAUCAAAAAAUUCCCGCAAAAUAAGAACUAUAAUUUCUUUAACAAUUUUAUCAUUUCUAGGACCCAUAUGGAGUAUUUGCUCUCAAAUACACUAACUGUAGCAUGGCCAUAAAACUCCUAUAGCAUUUAAGCUUGAUAAAUGUAAAAUGCCAACUCAAUUACACCAACUAGGUAUCUUUCUACCCAGAAGCAGAUCUAAAAUUUAAAAUUGAUGAAUGUAAAAUGCCAACUCAAUUACACCAACUAGGUAUUCUUUCUACCC
RNAcentral lists this long non-coding RNA (357 nucleotides) under Nicotiana tabacum (common tobacco). Its description in RNAcentral is "long non-coding RNA (NTAB_LNC011295)". The record is from RNAcentral. Lineage: Eukaryota; Viridiplantae; Streptophyta; Magnoliopsida; Solanales; Solanaceae.